RNAcentral lists this ribosomal RNA (222 nucleotides) under Triticum aestivum (bread wheat). RNAcentral describes it as "partial small subunit ribosomal RNA". The record is from RNAcentral. Lineage: Eukaryota; Viridiplantae; Streptophyta; Magnoliopsida; Poales; Poaceae.
AUGCCGGAUGGGCUCCAGCGCUGGAAGGUGAUGGGGGAUUUCUGGGCCGAGACAAUCAUCUAUGUCGCGCCCUCGCACUCCACCGCCAAGCAACACAUGCAACAUCUUGAGAAUGGUGGGGAGUUCCUCACCCACAUCUGGGCUCUGCUUUCUCAUGCUGGCAUCCUGAACCUUAACAGGGACAAGGAUCAGGGGGCACAGGAAGAGCCUGUAUCUGUAUGA